UUGAGGCCUUAGCUUAAUUAAAGUGUUUGAUUUGCGUUCAUUUGAUGUGUAUUAGUAUUACGCAGGUCUUA
This 71-nucleotide transfer RNA is filed under the name Petrosaurus mearnsi. RNAcentral describes it as "tRNA-Ala". It matches the Rfam family "tRNA". Rfam says of the family: Transfer RNA (tRNA) molecules are approximately 80 nucleotides in length. The record is from RNAcentral. Lineage: Eukaryota; Metazoa; Chordata; Lepidosauria; Squamata; Phrynosomatidae.